RNAcentral lists this transfer RNA (65 nucleotides) under Trimusculus reticulatus. RNAcentral describes it as "tRNA-Ser". The record is from RNAcentral. Lineage: Eukaryota; Metazoa; Mollusca; Gastropoda; Ellobiida; Trimusculidae.
AAACUUGAGAAGAUUAGAUUGAGGCUGCUAACUUUGAUCUGGGGUUUAAUACAACUCCGCUUCUU